This 287-nucleotide ribosomal RNA is filed under the name uncultured bacterium. RNAcentral's name for it is "partial 16S ribosomal RNA". It matches the Rfam family "Bacterial small subunit ribosomal RNA", at positions 29 to 334 of the family's 1533-position model. The record is from RNAcentral.
AAUGAACGCUGGCGGCAUGCCUAACACAUGCAAGUCGAACGCUAAGCAGACUUCGGUCUGUGGAGAGUGGCGGACGGGUGAGUAACGCAUGGAAAUCUACCUUUCACUGGGGGAUAACAUCUGGAAACAGGUGCUAAUACCGCAUACGCCAUAUUGGGAAAGCUCCGGCGGUGAAAGAUGAGUCCAUGUCUGAUUAGCUAGUUGGUGGGGUAAAAGCCUACCAAGGCUACGAUCAGUAGCUGGUCUGAGAGGAUGAUCAGCCACACUGGAACUGAGACACGGUCCAG